Molecule: long non-coding RNA, 4854 nt
Filed under: Trifolium pratense (red clover)
Lineage: Eukaryota; Viridiplantae; Streptophyta; Magnoliopsida; Fabales; Fabaceae
Description: long non-coding RNA (TPRA_LNC012351)
Rfam family: MIR1120/MIR1122 microRNA precursor family (bases 1149-1285)
Source: RNAcentral
CUACGUUCAAAUAAAAUUAAUCAUAAUAAUACAUGACUGACAAAAGGUUAAAUGUGUGAUCUAAACCAUUCAUCACUAAUUUUUUACAUAUAUUUAUCAUCAAACAUAAAACUCAAAAUCAUUCAUAUGUACAUAUAUGUGUUACAAACUAACAAGAGAUUUUAUUUUAAGCCAGGGAUGUUCCCCCUAGUACACGCCAAAAAAAAAAGAGAAUUUGUUGGACAAUCUCACGAAACAGUAUAUACAUAAACAUAAGUAACCGGGGUUAAUAACACUAGAAAUAUUUGGAAUAUGAUACAUAUAUAAGGUGGAAUGAUGUAGAACGAAUGAAAAUCAUUCUUUCUUUUUUUUUUCCAUAAUUACAUUCAACAUUCCUUUCACCUUGUAUCAUCUCAUGAUCCAAACAUAUCUUAACUUUUCUUAUUCAAGGAUUAAAACAUUCAACAAGCAUGUAAAGUGAAGCCUCCGAAAAUAGCAACCUAGGCUUGAAAAAUUGCACAGUUGGAGCUAACCAAGUUGAAGUCAUGUUGUUCUUUGGUGAGACAGUAGAGUGAGUACUCUGAAUCUGAUCUUUUUCCUUUUCUCUGAGUUUGGACAUCUCAUUUGUCCAUAUAUCCACAAGUCCAGAGAUCACUAUUAUAAAGACAAAAAAGCACUUAUAAAAAUUGGUAAGCAAAAUAGUACUUGAUAAAGCUCAAAAUUAGGAAGGAAAGACACUAGUGGAUGUUUGAUUUGAAUUUGUUUGAAGUUGAAUGACAUAUAUAUAUAAGGAUUAGAAAUUCAUUCGGUUAAGUAAUAAAAUAUGUAACUUAAUGGUUGAGCUGAAAUAGUGGAAAGUAUUUUAUCUAUUAUAAUAAAUAAAGCUAGUGAUACCGUGGUACUAUCAAGAUACUACUAGUAUAAAGAAACAACUUGCGCCACCAAUAUAAAAGUGGUUUUUACAUUUAACUUUGCAAACAAAUAUCUGUUGGCUCAUUUAGAUNNUACGAGGUUUUGCAUUAACAGCGGCAGGGAGAAGAGUCUCGUACUAUGUCUCAUCUCAUCUAUGCCAGGUGUGUUGUGUAAGGAUGAUAAAUAUAUGCUUAUCCUUAUCUUUAUGAUGAUAUACAUGAAAAUUUCAUGCAUAUGAAGAAAUCUAGUCCUACGAUUAAGUACUCCUUCCGUCCCAAAAUAUAAGCAAAAAGUGGUCAACAAAAGUGAAUGUAUUUAGUCCAAAUUUUUAACCAAAUACAUCAAGUUUCUUUGACUCACUUUUACUUAUAUUUUGGGACGGAAGGAGUAGAUCAUAUAAGAAACUGCAGAAAAGGCUUUUUGAAAACCAACAUUUUAUGGAUUGGUACUGGUUUUUCUAAUUUCAUAAAUUAAAAUACUAAAAUGGAAACAUUUUUAAAACUAAGGUCAUCUUGUAACACUGAUGAUAUCAUAGCUUGGAUCAUUGUAGAGAUAUUAUGAUAUGAACAACCAAAUUAGAUUUUCUUAUUUUAUUUUUAUUGGUUGGAGCAAAUGCCAUACAAAGUUCCUUCCUUCUAUAGGGGAACACAAAAAGAGCACUAUAAUGGUAAGAGUACCUGAAAGUUACAAAACAGUUCAAAUAUGAAUCACCAACCCAAUCUUGGGUAGGAUGGAAUACAUUCCAUUACAUAAUAAAAGAAAGCGCAGUUGAUUAUUUGACCUAUAUCUAUUACUAUAUAAAUAAUACAAUGGAUAUAUAAAUAUUACAUGGAUAUGUGCAACUGAUGCUGGACUUCAGUUUUGGUAAAAUGUAAUGCUCCAGCCAAAACAAUGAUUGGAUAAUCCACAGCGUCUUUUCUUUAGGCCUUGACAAGAACUGAGGAUUCAAAACAUACUUCUCAAUGAAUAUGGCAGUGGAAGCUUGAGAUGUUCAAAGCUGCAGUACGCAUUGUUUACAUCAGAAGAGAAGGCACAAAAUUUUUUACAUACCCCACGAGACCAACUGUGAGCCUUGGACUUCUCUGGAGCAAGUCAUGGGGUGGCAGAUGCAACCCCGCAACCAAGGUGUGAAAUGAUAACUCUGCCAGGACAAAUGCUGAAAUCAAAGGGAUGGCAUAAUCUAAACAGACUACAGUUUGGUUUCAGCCAUGCUUAGAUUACUGAUUGGGAUCAUUGGUAGAAUUCACGAUAUGCCCAGACUAAUGGGACCUGCAAAAACAUCGGAGUGGGGUCUUCCUUAUCACAAGGAAAUAAUCACACCAAAGGUCCUAUUCCUCACCUUGAUCAACUGAACAAUGCCAGAGGCUAGUUCUUGCAUGAUAUUGGGAAUGGAACUUCAAUUUAAGAUGUUCAAGUAUGAGAAACCUCUUGAAACCUCAAAUCCAGGGUGUCCAACCUUCGUACAUGUUGCAAAGAUUAUCUGCACUAGUAGCUUGCUUUAGUAGAUAAUCUACUUGCUCUGCAAUACUAAUUUCUCUGAAAUUCAAAGAAGGUUCUGUAUCAGUGAAAAAAUUCAGCAGAAGAUUGAAUUCCAAAAAGAGCUAUAUAUAUAUACCCAUACCUGCGUUCAGAAAUAUCUCGACCAUCAAUUUUCAUCUCAACCCGCCUCAAUACUGACAAGGCAUAAGCAUUUUUGCCUAGAGAUAAGUGCAAACAAAAGAGCAUAUCAAUUUUAUUUCCAGGCAAUUUUAAAUUACAUAAAACUUUACGAAAUCAAAUGAACAUAAAUAUUAUGUGGUGGGUGUAAAAGAUUGCUGGCUGUUCCUGUCUAACACAUUGGUAAACAUUGCCACCAUUUCCCCUUGUCUGGUUUUCCUAGUUCAGGAAUAUAUUUGGGUGUCGCUAGAACAAUCGUCAAAACUUAGUCUAGAGAUUCAGAUAACCAUUAAUGCAAACCUACCUGUAGGUCACCCAAACCCUUGGUCCAUUUUCAAAUUUAGACUGAAUGAUAAAGAGAAGGUCUGCACAGUAAGUUGGUCUCUUCCAAAAUAAAGGGUUUUGUAGAGAAUUAAAAUGAAAGAUAAAUCAUAAUUUCAUAAAGACUCCAACCAAUUCCCAGAUAACAAAAAUCAAAAGAAUGCAGGGUUGGGUAAAGAAACAAAAGGUAAAAUAAAUCAUAAAAAUUAGUCCUCUUUACAUUUAAGUAAAAUAAAACACCUCAAGAUUUAGUGUUGACUUUGCAAAAACUUUAUAGAGGAUAAUUCUUCUGAAUUCUUCCUGACAUGAUUAGCUCUUAACUAUACAGGAUAAUUCUUCUGAAUUCUUCAUACUAAAACCUAGCGUAAGUGGUUUAAGUCCUUUAGAGUAAUANNNNNNNNNNNNNNNNNNNNNNNNNNNUCUCUCAUAAUAAAUAAGGGCAUAAGUGAAAUUGAACAUUUAAAACAUUUGAAAAUUGGUCAAAGUUUCUUAUAAAAAGGACCAAAUUUUUUGCCCUAAGUGUUUCUUAUAAAAAGGACCGGAGGGAGUACAUCUUUUCUUUUAAUUUGAUAUAGGUAAUAUCAAUUUUAUAAGGUUCUUAUUUUUUCACCGGUUCAAAAUGAAAUCCCAAGUAAUUAUUUUACAAUGUGAAGUUUUUUUGGUCUUAACCCUCUGGUUCCCAAGGAAGGGGGCCCUUGUAAUUGUAGUUUGGCCAGGAGGUAAGUAAAGUCUAGUUCUCUUGAACAAUUCGUCCUUAGAUGGAGCUCAAUCAUUGGGUUACUAAUGUGAGAUUUAUAUCAAACUAGCGGGACAGGCAGGCGCGUUCCGCGCCUAUCUGUGUUUAACUUAUGUCCAAAAGAAAAAUACAUAUAUGUCUUAUGUUACGGUGAGUUUUCCUUCAAAAAAAAAAUGUUACGAUGGGUUUGAUAAUAAAAUAUUUUUCUGCAAAACUCAUGUAUUAUCUUUAUAUAUAGUAUAGAAAAGGAAAUAAAACCACUAAACACUUUGUGCACCGAAGUUAGUUUUAAUUAUGAUAUUUGAGAGCAGUUUUUUUUUGGACUAUUGAUCAAUGGAAGUUUUUGAAGGGUAAAAUUGGCAAUAAGAAAAGUCCAGCCCAAACUCAUCUAUCAUUUUUAUAUAUUAGUAUAGAUGAAACGUGACAAGAAAUAAAUAGUUGAAAAAAGACUUUAGAUAUACCUCUUCCUACUCGAGUACUGAUGUUGAUGUCAGCAUCGGGAGUUUCUCGGUGUUCUGUGCCAUUCUUACCUUUAACUGUAGAAAGCAGAUCAUCUUCACCAUCAAAUUUGUCUAAGUUCUCAUUCGAUGGAUUCUGAGAGACAGAAGAACUGGCAACAGAUUUAUCACUGUGAAAAGGCAUAGCUUUGGGAUGUUCAGUGGCCUCAUUAGUUAACAUCACAGAAUCAGCACCAUCAAGAUCAGCUUCCAGGGGAAAAGAUUUUGACUCCUCAAAAAGUGAGAUUUCUUCAACAUCAAUUUGAGAUAAUGAAGUGGUAUGUAAAUGACCGAUAAGGUUUCUGCUACUAGACACCUGUGAAAGCAUAUCUGUAUUUUCUGCUAAAUCAUUCAAGCUAUCAGGAAGACUAAUGUCAGCAGAUGUAAUGUCAGAUCCUGAGCUGCUACAAAAGCUGCUAUCUGGUGGUGAUAUCCAUCCUUUUUCUUCUAAAGAAAGUUGAGAAAAGCCAAUAAUAUCUUCUGUCUUAUCAUCAUCAGACCUAGAGAGACUCUCCCCUUCUUUACCAUUGAACUCAACAGCGUCACCAACACCAGCAUCUGAUGUAGACAAAGCAAUAUCCUGUGAUUUUACUUCCUGACUUUCUCCUAUUCCUUCAAGAGCCUGAAAACAAAGAGCACGGAUCUAUAUUUGUUCUUUCAAAAUAUGAGCAAAAAAUAAAAUCCCUAGACAGCUUUUCUGUGUGGAUUUCCUGGUGUAAGCGCGCUCACACACACACACACAGAUAUAUAUAU